GCUGACUAUACUAUGUUGAUAGGCUGACAAUUACUGCAUCUAUACUGAAAAUACAUAGACUCUUUUCCUUAUCAUGAGUCCCUAAACAAUACAAUAGAACAACUAUUUGCAUAGCUUUUACAAUGCAUGAGGUAUUUUAAGUAAUCUAGACAUAAUUGAGAGUAUACAAGAGGAUGUGGGUAAGUUACAUACAAAUAUGUCAUUUUAUAAAAGGGACUGGACAUGGCUCACGGAGUGCUGGAACCAAUACCCAGCAGGUAUCAAGGGAUGACUGUACUGGAAAGAAACUGAAAUUACUUAAGGUUUUACCAAGUGCUUACAUUCACAGGGUCUAUCUCCAAUGUGUUUCGUACAAGUAUCUGAAAUGAAAUAAAAUUAAUAAAUGCUUUCCCACAUUCCAUACAUUUAGAGAGAAUGCUAGUGAGUCUUUUUAUGUCUAUGCAAGGAACUGAGAGAAGCAAAUGCUUUCCCACAUUCCUUACAUCCAUACGGGUUCUCUCCAGUGUGAGUUUUUUUCCAGUGAGUCUUUUUAUGUCUAUGCAAGGAACUGAGAGAAGCAAAUGCUUUCCCACAUUCCUUACAUUCAUACGGGUUCUCUCCAGUAUGAGUUUUUUCAUGUCCUUGAAGAAAACGGGAAUGAGUGAAGGCUUUACCACAUUGUUGACACUCAUAGGGUUUCUCUCUCAUGUGAAUUCUUUCAUGUCGUAGAAAGCAAGUGAGCCAAGAGAAUGCUUUCCCACAUUCCUUACAUUCAUACGGCUUCUCUCCAGAGUGAAUUCUUUCAUGUACUUUUAAGUUACCAAAAUGACUGAAGGCUUUCUUACAUGUGUUACACUCAUAAGGUUUCUCUCCUGUGUGAGUCCUUCUAUGUUGAGAAAGGUAUUGGAAACAACUGAAUGCUUUCCCACAUUCCUUACACUCAUAUGGCUUCUCUCCAGCAUGAGUUGUUUUGUGAUUUUGAAAGGAAUAGAAAUCAAUAAAGGCUUUCCCACAUUUGCAUUUAUAGGGUUUCUCUCCAGUAUGAGUUGUUUCAUGCCUUCGAAGAGAACUGGAAAUACGGUAGGCUUUCCCAAGUUUGCAUUUAUAGGGUUUCUCUCCAGUAUGAGUUGUUUCAUGCCUUCGAAGGGAACUGGAAAUACGGUAGGCUUUGCCACAUUGUUUACAUUUAUAGGGUUUCUCUGCAGUGUGAGUCCUUUCAUGUCUUUGAAAUACACUGGGAUAAACAAAGGCUUUCCCACAUACCUUGCAUUUAUGAGGUCCAUCUCCAGUGUGCAUUAUCAUAUGACUUCGAAAGCUUGAGCGAUGAGAUAAUGCUUUCCCACACUGCUUGCAUUCAUAGGGUUUCUCUCCAGUGUGAGUUCUUUCAUGACUUUGCAGUGAACUAGGACAAUCAAAGCCUUUCCCACAUAUCUUACAUUUAUGAGGUCCAUUUCCAGUGUGCCUUAUCAUGUGUCUUUGAAAGCUUCCCAGAUGAUGAAACGCUUUCCCACAUUGCUGACAUGCAUAGGGUUUCUCUGCACUGUGAGUGGUUUCAUGUCUUUGAAGGGAACCGGAAACACUGAAGGCUUUCCCACAUUGUUUACAUGUAUAGGGUUUC
RNAcentral lists this long non-coding RNA (1597 nucleotides) under Homo sapiens (human). RNAcentral describes it as "long non-coding RNA NONHSAT061247.2". The record is from RNAcentral. Lineage: Eukaryota; Metazoa; Chordata; Mammalia; Primates; Hominidae.